UUCUCUGGAAGAGAGCUCUCUUCAGUCCACUCUGAAAUGGCUGUAGGGUUUCAUUAGCUGCCGACUCAUCCAUUCACCUGCCAAGAACCAUGGACAGGUCUGGUCUUGGUAGCCGAGUGGGUGGCGCGGGAGCUAAAAUCAAGCUCUACGCUGUUUGUGGUUGGACUGAAGGGUGCUCCCUUUUGUUUGCUC
Molecule: microRNA precursor, 192 nt
Filed under: Zea mays
Lineage: Eukaryota; Viridiplantae; Streptophyta; Magnoliopsida; Poales; Poaceae
Description: MIR159 microRNA precursor family
Rfam family: MIR159 microRNA precursor family
Source: Rfam by way of RNAcentral